GAUGAACGCUGGCGGCGUGCCUAAUACAUGCAAGUCGAGCGAACAGACGAGGAACUUGCUCCUCUGACGUUAGCGGCGGACGGGUGAGUAACACGUGGAUAACCUACCUAUAAGACUGGGAUAACUUCGGGAAACCGGCGCUAAUACCGGAUAAUAUAUUGAACCGCAUGGUUCAAUAGUGAAAGACGGUUUUGCUGUCACUUAUAGAUGGAUCCGCGCCGCAUUAGCUAGUUGGUAAGGUAACGGCUUACCAAGGCAACGAUGCGUAGCCGACCUGAGAGGGAGAUAGGCCACACUGGAACGGAGACACGGUCCAGACACCUAAGGGAGGCAGCAGUAGGGAAUCGUCCGCAAGGGGCGAAAGCCUGACGGAGCAACGCCGAGUGAGUGAUGAAGGUCUUCGGAUCGUAGAACUCUGUUAUUAGGGAAGAACAAAUGUGUAAGUAACUAUGAACGUCUUGACGGUACCCAAUCAGAAAGCCACGGCUAAAUACGUG
RNAcentral lists this ribosomal RNA (497 nucleotides) under uncultured bacterium. RNAcentral's name for it is "partial 16S ribosomal RNA". It matches the Rfam family "Bacterial small subunit ribosomal RNA", at positions 28 to 507 of the family's 1533-position model. The record is from RNAcentral.